AUGGACUUAGCUUAGUUGGUUUGAGCAUCAGUUUGUGGAAUUGAAGGUCGCGGGUUCGAACCCCGUCGUCCAUC
RNAcentral lists this transfer RNA (74 nucleotides) under Candidatus Uzinura diaspidicola str. ASNER. It matches the Rfam family "tRNA". Rfam says of the family: Transfer RNA (tRNA) molecules are approximately 80 nucleotides in length. Their secondary structure includes four short double-helical elements and three loops (D, anti-codon, and T loops). Further hydrogen bonds mediate the characteristic L-shaped molecular structure. tRNAs have two regions of fundamental functional importance: the anti-codon, which is responsible for specific mRNA codon recognition, and the 3' end, to which the tRNAs corresponding amino acid is attached (by aminoacyl-tRNA synthetases). tRNAs cope with the degeneracy of the genetic code in two manners: having more than one tRNA (with a specific anti-codon) for a particular amino acid; and 'wobble' base-pairing, i.e. permitting non-standard base-pairing at the 3rd anti-codon position. The record is from Rfam by way of RNAcentral. Lineage: Bacteria; Pseudomonadati; Bacteroidota; Flavobacteriia; Flavobacteriales.